AGAGUUUGAUCCUGGCUCAGGAUGAACGCUGGCGGCGUGCUUAACACAUGCAAGUCGAACGAAGCAUUUGUGAUUGAGACUUCGGUUGAAAGAGCAAAUGACUUAGUGGCGGACGGGUGAGUAACGCGUGGGCAACCUGCCUCGUACAGGGGGACAACAGUUAGAAAUGACUGCUAAUACCGCAUAAGCGCACAGCUUCGCAUGAAGCAGUGUGAAAAACUCCGGUGGUACGAGAUGGGCCCGCGUUGGAUUAGCUGGUUGGUGGGGUAACGGCCUACCAAGGCGACGAUCCAUAGCCGACCUGAGAGGGUGACCGGCCACAUUGGGACUGAGACACGGCCCAAACUCCUACGGGAGGCAGCAGUGGGGAAUAUUGCACAAUGGGCGCAAGCCUGUUGCAGCGACGCCGCGUGAGCGAAGAGGUAUUUCGGUAUGUAAAGCUCUAUCAGCAGGGAAGAAAAUGACGGUACCUGACUAAGAAGCUCCGGCUAAAUACGUGCCAGCAGCCGCGGUAAUACGUAUGGAGCGAGCGUUAUCCGGAUUUACUGGGUGUAAAGGGAGCGUANACGGAUCGGCAAGUCUGAUGUGAAAUGCGGGGGCUCAACUCCUGAACUGCAUUGGAAACUGUCGGUCUUGAGUGCCGGAGAGGUAAGCGGAAUUCCUAGUGUAGCGGUGAAAUGCGUAGAUAUUAGGAGGAACACCAGUGGCGACGGCGGCUUACUGGACGGUAACUGACGUUGAGGCUGAAAGCCUGGGGAACAAACAGGAUUAGAUACGCUGGUAGUCCACCCGGUAAACGAUGAAUACUAGGUGUUGGGCAGCAAAGCUGUUCGGUGCCGCAGCAAACGCAAUAAGUAUUCCACCUGGGGAGUACGUUCGCAAGAAUGAAACUCAAAGGAAUUGACGGGGACCCGCACAAGCGGUGGAGCAUGUGGUUUAAUUCGAAGCAACGCGAAGAACCUUACCAAGUCUUGACAUCCCGAUGACCGGUGCGUAAUGGCGCCUUUUCUUCGGAACAUCGGAGACAGGUGGUGCAUGGUUGUCGUCAGCUCGUGUCGUGAGAUGUUGGGUUAAGUCCCGCAACGAGCGCAACCCUUAUCUUCAGUAGCCAGCGGUAAGGCCGGGCACUCUGGAGAGACUGCCAGGGAUAACCUGGAGGAAGGUGGGGAUGACGUCAAAUCAUCAUGCCCCUUAUGACUUGGGCUACACACGUGCUACAAUGGCGUAAACAAAGGGAAGCGAGCCUGCGAGGGGGAGCAAAUCUCAAAAAUAACGUCCCAGUUCGGACUGCAGUCUGCAACUCGACUGCACGAAGCUGGAAUCGCUAGUAAUCGCGAAUCAGAAUGUCGCGGUGAAUACGUUCCCGUGGUCUUGUACACACCGCCCGUC
Molecule: ribosomal RNA, 1389 nt
Filed under: uncultured bacterium
Lineage: Bacteria
Description: bacterial SSU rRNA
Rfam family: Bacterial small subunit ribosomal RNA
Source: RNAcentral